UCUCCUUCACUCAGACGACUACAUCUUCAACUGCGGCUCUUCCUCCAACGCCACCUUCUUCAUCGGAGACUUCAAUUCGGGGUCGGGUUUUGUCUCCACAGGCCGCAGAGCUAAUAGUUAUUGACUGUCUUUGUAGGACUGCACGUCAUGUGCUCAAAAGGGAUUAACCUUAGUUUAGGAUCAAAGUCUCUCCUGCCUUUUGAUUUCCAGAAGCCUCCAUCAACAUCACUCUUUCCUCUUGGCCGACAUCGAAAUCGCCCAUCAACAUCAACAUCGCUAAAAGCUUGAAUUGUCGUGUAUCAAUUUGCCAACCACAGUUUCAAAUUGGAUUGAAGCUUGAGCUUCAACCAGGACUGCACACAUGACUCCAUGCACUCCAAAUAAAGAAAGUCGGUUAACUGCUCUUCGUCUUUGUUUACACUCUAUCCUCAUUCCCUCACGGUCUAAGCUUACCAGUUUUAUACACAGGCCCACCCGCAUCCAUUCACCUCUCUUUGCUUGCUUGGAAAAAUGACAGUCAGCCCAAUGGAAACGCUGGAUCGAAGUCCCCCUUUGAAACAACAACACAUUGUUUCCCUCUCAGGUCAUAAUAAUUCACCCAGGACUGGCUUGACAGUAUGAAAAGGUGUGGUCCUUGGAACAUCAUAUAUAGCUCCAAAAUAUGUAGAAUUGUCAAGCUUGGAACACCAUAGCAUCAUAGCUCCAAAAUCUGCAGUGAAAUUGUUUUUCUGGACAAACAGUUGAACUGUGUUCAAGCCACAUCUAGCAAUCGAGUUAAAGUUGUUUCUGAAGGAACAAUUACUUUUUCAUCAGCUACCUGUAUUCAAGCCAACAUCCAUCAAAAACUUCUCACACACCAAGCCAAAUUUCUC
Rosa chinensis is the source of this 872-nucleotide long non-coding RNA. RefSeq lists it as uncharacterized. The transcript has 6 exons. The record is from RefSeq and is a predicted model, not a curated record. Lineage: Eukaryota; Viridiplantae; Streptophyta; Magnoliopsida; Rosales; Rosaceae.